UUCAAUCCUUGACCCUUUAAAUUUGGGCCAAAGUCCUAAUCUUUUGGAUUGGGUCAAUCGAGCUAAGGGUUAGUUGAACCUUUUUUACCAUCCUUAGUGGCAAAUGUAACCCAAGCAUUAAAACUAGGGGUGGGCAAAAUACCCGACCCGAUCCGAUCCGAAAAAUUUCGAGUUCAGGUCGGUUCAGGUUGUUAUUGAAACUCGAACGGGUGAAAAAUUGCAAACCCGAUCCGAUCCGAAUACCCGAUCGGGUCGCACAAAAAAAAAAAAUUCACUAAACCUAUAAACACAUCACACAUCACACAUGCACACACCAGACACCACACACACGGCCACACACAAAGUUACAACUCAAAAACAAUUGGCUAAAAAAAAAUUGACAAAUAAAAAACAAAAUCAAAUUAUAACCCACGCACAGCCACACACAAACAUUGAAACAUAUCUUCGCUGCCUUCAUAGCCCUCAUCCCCACAGCCCUCACGACUUCACACACACACACAAAUAUCGCAAAAGCCAAAAGCAAAGCGGCAGCUAGCAGCCAACGCAGAGAAGAGAACGGAGGAAGCGCAGCCAGCGCAUGCAGGCACCUAACCCGUGACUGGAUCUACUGCUCCGCGACAUCCGUAGAUACCAGAUUUGCUGUUGCCGGAUAUCUACCGGAUCUGCUGCUGCUGGAUCCGCUACGCUGCUAUCGGAUCUGCUGUUGCUAUCGGAUCUGCUGCUGCAGCCUCCACCAUCACCAAGUUCCACCGCGAACCGGCAACCCGAAUUCUUUUCCUUUUUGAUGUUUUGAUGGGAUAAAAUAAUAUAUUAUAUAUUAUUUGUUAAUUGCUAAGUAUAUGUAUUGUUAAAUGUUAAUAAUAAAAUGAGGGAAAUUCUUGUAUGGAAAAUUUUGGGGUUUAAUUUAUUAAGUCCGUGGAAGCUUAAAUAAUAAGUAUGAAUUGAUUUCUUUUGUUUUGUUUUGUUUUUAAUGAAUAGAUUAAGCAGAUUAAGCAUUAAAAUUAAAUAUUUUGCAUUUGAUCCAAGCUUCCUCUUCACCCGAUCCGAAUUAACCCGAAUUUAACCCGAUUAUUUGACAUGAUCCGAUCCGAUCCGAAUAUGUUCGGAUCGGGUCGGAUCGGGUUACAACUUCGGGUUGAGUUCGGAUGAAUUCUUUUCUAACCCGAUCAACCCGAAAUCCGAUCGGGUUGAUUCGAACCCGAAAAUGCCCACCCCUAAUUAA
Molecule: long non-coding RNA, 1222 nt
Filed under: Citrus x clementina
Lineage: Eukaryota; Viridiplantae; Streptophyta; Magnoliopsida; Sapindales; Rutaceae
Description: Citrus clementina (C. clementina) long non-coding RNA (CCLE_LNC002464)
Source: RNAcentral